RNAcentral lists this ribosomal RNA (464 nucleotides) under uncultured bacterium. Its description in RNAcentral is "partial 16S ribosomal RNA". It matches the Rfam family "Bacterial small subunit ribosomal RNA", at positions 28 to 507 of the family's 1533-position model. The record is from RNAcentral.
GACGAACGCUGGCGGCGUGCUUAACACAUGCAAGUCGAACGCUGAACCCGCUUCGGUGGGGGAUGAGUGGCGAACGGGUGAGUAACACGUGGGCAACCUGCCCCCGGCUCUGGGAUAACUCCAAGAAAUUGGGGCUAAUACCGGAUGUGACCGCUGGCCGCAUGGUCUGGUGGUGGAAAGGGUUUCCGGCUGGGGAUGGGCCCGCGGCCUAUCAGCUUGUUGGUGGGGUAGUGGCCUACCAAGGCGACGACGGGUAGCCGGCCUGAGAGGGUGACCGGCCACACUGGGACUGAGACACGGCCCAGACUCCGACGGGAGGCAGCAGUGGGGAAUAUUGCGCAAUGGGCGGAAGCCUGACGCAGCGACGCCGCGUGGGGAUGACGGCCUUCGGGUUGUAAACCUCUUUCAGCAGGGACGAAGCGCAAGUGACGGUACCUGCAGAAGAAGCACCGGCCAACUACGUG